CCUACGGGAGGCAGCAGUGAGGAAUAUUGGUCAAUGGGCGCGAGCCUGAACCAGCCACGUAGCGUGAAGGAUGACUGCCCUACGGGUUGUAAACUUCUUUUAUAAAGGCAUAAAGUGAGGCACGUGUGCCUUUUUGUAUGUACUUUAUGAAUAAUGAUCGGCUACCUCCGUGCCCGCCGCCGCGGUAAUACGGAGGAUCCGAGAGUUAUUCGGAUUUGGGUGGUUGAAAGUGCGCGUAGAUGGGUUGUUAAGUCAGUUGUGAAAGUUUGCGGCUCAACCGUAAAAUUGCAAUUGAUAAUGGCAGCCUUGAGUACAGUGGAGGUAGGCGGAAUUCGUGGUGUAGCGGUGAAAUGCUUAGAUAUCACGAAGAACUCCGAUUGCGAAGGCAGCCUACUAAACUGCCACUGACAUUGAUGCUCGAAAGUGUGGGUAUCAAACAGGAUUAGAUACCCCGGUAGUC
RNAcentral lists this ribosomal RNA (460 nucleotides) under uncultured bacterium. RNAcentral describes it as "partial 16S ribosomal RNA". It matches the Rfam family "Bacterial small subunit ribosomal RNA", at positions 338 to 795 of the family's 1533-position model. The record is from RNAcentral.